AGAGUUUGAUCAUGGCUCAGAUUGAACGCUGGCGGCAUGCCUUACACAUGCAAGUCGAACGGCAGCACGGACUUCGGUCGGGUGGCGAGUGGCGAACGGGUGAGUAAUACAUCGGAACGUGUCCUGGAGUGGGGGAUAGCCCGGCGAAAGCCGGAUUAAUACCGCAUACGCUCUGAGGAGGAAAGCGGGGGAUCUUUCGGGACCUCGCGCUCAAGGGGCGGCCGAUGGCAGAUUAGCUAGUUGGUGGGGUAAAGGCCUACCAAGGCGACGAUCUGUAGCUGGUCUGAGAGGACGACCAGCCACACUGGGACUGAGACACGGCCCAGACUCCUACGGGAGGCAGCAGUGGGGAAUUUUGGACAAUGGGCGCAAGCCUGAUCCCAGCAAUGCCGCGUGUGUGAAGAAGGCCUUCGGGUUGUAAAGCACUUUUGUCCGGAAAGAAAACCUUUGCCCUAAUACGGCGGGGGGAUGACGGUACCGGAAGAAUAAGCACCGGCUAACUACGUGCCAGCAGCCGCGGUAAUACGUAGGGUGCAAGCGUUAAUCGGAAUUACUGGGCGUAAAGCGUGCGCAGGCGGUCCGUUAAGACAGAUGUGAAAUCCCCGGGCUUAACCUGGGAACUGCAUUUGUGACUGGCGGACUCGAGUAUGGCAGAGGGGGGUAGAAUUCCCGUGUAGCAGUGAAAUGCGUAGAGAUGUGGAGGAAUACCGAUGGCGAAGGCAGCCCCCUGGGCCAAUACUGACGCUCAUGCACGAAAGCGUGGGGAGCAAACAGGAUUAGAUACCCUAGUAGUCC
Molecule: ribosomal RNA, 795 nt
Filed under: uncultured bacterium
Lineage: Bacteria
Description: bacterial SSU rRNA
Rfam family: Bacterial small subunit ribosomal RNA
Source: RNAcentral